This 375-nucleotide ribosomal RNA is filed under the name uncultured organism. Its description in RNAcentral is "partial 16S ribosomal RNA". It matches the Rfam family "Bacterial small subunit ribosomal RNA", at positions 527 to 896 of the family's 1533-position model. The record is from RNAcentral.
GGAGGGUGCAAGCGUUGUUCGGAAUUACUGGGCGUAAAGAGCGUGUAGGCGGUUUGGCAAGUCAGAUGUGAAAGCCCUGGGCUCAACCCAGGAAGUGCAUUUGAAACUGCCAUACUAGAGUAUGGGAGAGGAGAGUGGAAUUCCCGGUGUAGAGGUGAAAUUCGUAGAUAUUGGGAGGAACACCCGUGGCGAAGGCGACUCUCUGGACCAAUACUGACGCUGAGACGCGAAAGCGUGGGGAGCAAACAGGGAUUAGAUACCCUGGUAGUCCACGCCGUAAACGAUGAGAACUAGGUGUAGCGGGUAUUGACCCCCCUGCCCGUGCCGUAGCUAACGCAUUAAGUUCUCCGCCUGGGGAGUACGGUCGCAAGGCUA